This 497-nucleotide ribosomal RNA is filed under the name uncultured bacterium. RNAcentral describes it as "partial 16S ribosomal RNA". It matches the Rfam family "Bacterial small subunit ribosomal RNA", at positions 28 to 507 of the family's 1533-position model. The record is from RNAcentral.
GAUGAACGCUGGCGGCGUGCCUAAUACAUGCAAGUCGAGCGAACAGAUGAGGAGCUUGCUCCUCUGACGUUAGCGGCGGACGGGUGAGUAACACGUGGAUAACCUACCUAUAAUACUGGGAUAACUUCGGGAAACCGGAGCUAAUACCGGAUAAUAUAUUGAACCGCAUGGUUCAAUAGUGAAAGACGGUUUUGCUGUCACUUAUAGAUGGAUCCGCGCCGCAUUAGCUAGUUGGUAAGGUAACGGCUUACCAAGGCGACGAUGCGUAGCCGACCUGAGAGGGUGAUCGGCCACACUGGAACUGAGACACGGUCCAGACUCCUACGGGAGGCAGCAGUAGGGAAUCUUCCGCAAUGGGCGAAAGCUUGACGGAGCAACGCCGCGUGAGUGAUGAAGGUCUUCGGAUCGUAAAACUCUGUUAUUAGGGAAGAACAAAUGUGUAAGUAACUAUGCACGUCUUGACGGUACCUAAUCAGAAAGCCACGGCUAACUACGUG